GGAAGCGCUCGGGGGCUGGUGCCUCUCGCGGUCUUCAAAACCGUAGUCUCGCACCCGACGCGGUGUGAGGGGUGGGUUCGAUUCCCAUGCGCUUCCGCCA
RNAcentral lists this transfer RNA (100 nucleotides) under Thermoanaerobaculia bacterium. Its description in RNAcentral is "tRNA-Sec". It matches the Rfam family "Selenocysteine transfer RNA". The record is from RNAcentral. Lineage: Bacteria; Pseudomonadati; Acidobacteriota; Thermoanaerobaculia.